AGAUGGUGGAAUUGCACUGAACAGGCCCAAAAGGAAUAUACGUCCACCAGAGCGGUAUGGCUUCGAGGAAUCUGUUUCAUAUUCUUUGGUGACGAUAAAUAGAGACCCAUAUACCUAUGAGAAGGCAAUGGAGAGCCGUGACAGUGAUAGAUGGAUUCAGGCAAUAUCCGAGGAGAUGCAGUCACUACACAAGAAUCAAACUUGAUAGUUAGUAUAGCUGCC
RNAcentral lists this long non-coding RNA (222 nucleotides) under Elaeis guineensis (African oil palm). Its description in RNAcentral is "long non-coding RNA (EGUI_LNC003665)". Lineage: Eukaryota; Viridiplantae; Streptophyta; Magnoliopsida; Arecales; Arecaceae. The record is from RNAcentral.